Molecule: ribosomal RNA, 464 nt
Filed under: uncultured bacterium
Lineage: Bacteria
Description: partial 16S ribosomal RNA
Rfam family: Bacterial small subunit ribosomal RNA
Source: RNAcentral
CUACGGGUGGCUCCAGUGGGGAAUAUUGCACAAUGGGCGCAAGCCUGAUGCAGCCAUGCCGCGUGUAUGAAGAAGGCCUUCGGGUUGUAAAGUACUUUCAGCGGGGAGGAAGGGAGUAAAGUUAAUACCUCUGCUCAUUGACGUUACCCGCAGAAGAAGCACCGGCUAACUCCGUGCCAGCAGCCGCGGUAAUACGGAGGGUGCAAGCGUUAAUCGGAAUGACUGGGCGUAAAGCGCACGCAGGCGGUUUGUUAAGUCAGAUGUGAAAUCCCCGGGCUCAACCUGGGAACUGCAUCUGAUACUGGCAAGCUUGAGUCUCGUAGAGGGGGGUAGAAUUCCAGGUGUAGCGGUGAAAUGCGUAGAGAUCUGGAGGAAUACCGGUGGCGAAGGCGGCCCCCUGGACGAAGACUGACGCUCAGGUGCGAAAGCGUGGGGAGCAAACAGGAUUAGAUACCCCCGUAGUC